Molecule: ribosomal RNA, 253 nt
Filed under: uncultured bacterium
Lineage: Bacteria
Description: partial 16S ribosomal RNA
Rfam family: Bacterial small subunit ribosomal RNA
Source: RNAcentral
UACGGAGGUGGCUAGCGUUGCUCGGAAUUACUGGGCGUAAAGCGCGCGUAGGCGGGUUGUUAAGUCAGGGGUGAAAUGCCGGGGCUCAACCUCGGAAUUGCCCUUGAUACUGGCAAUCUGGAGUUCGGGAGAGGUGAGUGGAAUUCCGAGUGUAGAGGUGAAAUUCGUAGAUAUUCGGAGGAACACCAGUGGCGAAGGCGACUCGCUGGCAUCUUGCUGACGCUGAGACGCGAAAGCGUGGGGAGCAAACAGG